Zingiber officinale is the source of this 455-nucleotide long non-coding RNA. RefSeq lists it as uncharacterized. The record is from RefSeq and is a predicted model, not a curated record. Lineage: Eukaryota; Viridiplantae; Streptophyta; Magnoliopsida; Zingiberales; Zingiberaceae. The transcript is spliced from 2 exons.
UAUGUCUCAAUGGGCACAUGUUAGGUGCAUGCACUCUGCUGCCACUAUCUGACUCUGAGGAGGCAUCAGAUAUUGACUGAUGCUUAAAAAUGAGUAAAAUUUUGUUUGAGUUUUUUUGCAGAACAGAAAAGAGGAUCGAUACAAAACUUCUCAUUUUCGAAGCUGUGUCAACUGAUAGCUGCCCUCUUAUUCUAGUUCAAGUCUCUCUAUUUGUGCACAGAAUUUCAGUCGGUGAGAAGGCACAGAAAAUUGCUCAAGGGCUGUCUUAUAAGUUAUAACGCCAGAGAACAAGUAAAAAAGUCGCGUCAUGAGGAACUAGUUGAGUACUGGUCCGAAGAGUCUUGUAUAUUUGCUGCUUCAAAAUUAAGACCAAAACUGUUGGUGUAAUUUUGCCAAGGCAGUUGGUGUAAGUAUUUAUCAUCGAUCCAUGAAAUUUUAAGUUCCUUUUCUUGCUA